CCUACGGGAGGCAGCAGUGGGGAAUAUUGGGCAAUGGGCGCAAGCCUGACCCAGCAACGCCGCGUGAAGGAAGAAGGCUUUCGGGUUGUAAACUUCUUUUUAGAGGGAAGAGCAGAAGACGGUACCUCUUGAAUAAGCCACGGCUAACUACGUGCCAGCAGCCGCGGUAAUACGUAGGUGGCAAGGGUUGUCCGGAUUUACUGGGGGUAAAGGGCUUGCUGCCGGGAAGACAAGGCAGAUGUGAAAUCCCGCGGCUCAACCGCGGAACUGCAUUUGAAACUGGUUUUCUUGAGUACCGGAGAGGUCAGCGGAAUGCCUUGUGUAGCGGUGAAAUGCGUAGAUAUAAGGAAGAACACCAGUGGCGAAGGCAGAUGACGGGAUGGCAACUGACGGUGAGGCGCGAAAGCGUGGGGAGCAAACAGGAUUAGAUACCCCAGUAGUC
RNAcentral lists this ribosomal RNA (442 nucleotides) under uncultured bacterium. Its description in RNAcentral is "partial 16S ribosomal RNA". It matches the Rfam family "Bacterial small subunit ribosomal RNA", at positions 338 to 795 of the family's 1533-position model. The record is from RNAcentral.